UACGUAGGGGGCAAGCGUUGUCCGGAUUUAUUGGGCGUAAAGAGCGUGUAGGCGGCCAUGCAGGUCCGUUGUGAAAACUCGGGGCUUAACUCCGAGACGUCGAUGGAAACCGCAUGGCUAGAGUCCGGAAGAGGAGAGUGGAAUUCCUGGUGUAGCGGUGAAAUGCGCAGAUAUCAGGAAGAACACCCGUGGCGAAGGCGGCUCUCUGGGACGGUACUGACGCUGAGACGCGAAAGCGUGGGGAGCGAACAGG
RNAcentral lists this ribosomal RNA (253 nucleotides) under uncultured bacterium. RNAcentral's name for it is "partial 16S ribosomal RNA". It matches the Rfam family "Bacterial small subunit ribosomal RNA", at positions 524 to 776 of the family's 1533-position model. The record is from RNAcentral.